Molecule: ribosomal RNA, 667 nt
Filed under: Himalacodon dicentrifolius
Lineage: Eukaryota; Viridiplantae; Streptophyta; Magnoliopsida; Asterales; Campanulaceae
Description: eukaryotic LSU rRNA
Rfam family: 5.8S ribosomal RNA (bases 253-408)
Source: RNAcentral
ACCUGCGGAAGGAUCAUUGUCGAAACCUGCAUAGCAGAACGACCCGCGAACAUGUGUAKYACAYUGGGGACGCGGGCAUGCCCGUGGCUCCUUGUCGACGCGCGCGCCCUUUGGGAKUGCGCGUCGGCACCAAACGAACCCCGGCGCGAUCCGCGCCAAGGAAAACCUAACUCGAGAGCGCCUYGUCCUGCCGUCGCCUCGUUCGCGGUGCGCGCGCGGUUGGACGGUCGCUUCUUAGUGAAAAACACAAACGACUCUCGGCAACGGAUAUCUCGGCUCUCGCAUCGAUGAAGAACGUAGCGAAAUGCGAUACUUGGUGUGAAUUGCAGAAUCCCGUGAACCAUCGAGUCUUUGAACGCAAGUUGCGCCCGAAGCCAUUAGGCCGAGGGCACGUCUGCAUGGGCGUCACGCAUCGCGUCGCCCCCCUUACCAAAACAAAACAAGGGGGAGCGGAUACUGGCCUCCCGUGCCUCGCGGCGCGGCUGGCUCAAAACGGAGUUCCCCGCGAAGGACGCACGACAAGUGGUGGUUGAUAACAAGGCCCUCGCGUCCCGUCGUGCGCAUGUCCUGCGCUGGGGUUGGCUCUAUAGACCCUGAUGCGCCUUUACUUAGGUGCUCCGACCGCGACCCCAUGUCAGGCGGGACUACCCGCUGAGUUUAAGCAUAU